UCUGUUAAGAGGAAGUUUCAUUUCCCUUGUUUCAAAUUCCUUUAACAAGAAGGGCUGUCAGGACUGUAUACAGACAACCUUGGUGUAACUGACCAGAGCGAUGCAGGGGACUGGAAUAUAAUCAGCCUUUGUGACUAACCAAUACCUAGUAUAAUGACUGUUUCUUCUUUAUGUAGCUUUUUACUCUUAGGCUACCACUGAUGCCUGACAGCUCCUAAACUGUAGCUCCCAGUACUGUCACAUAUUGAGGUCUAUAGACACUCCCUUUAUAACUAGGGAUAGGUGAACUGGCUCAGCUAAAGUGAAUGAGCACAGAACCCAAACUGAAUCUGGUUCAGAUAAAGUGAGAACAGACCCAAAUCUUCCCCCAAACUCAGACUGAAUCUCUUAUUAGGCCUGAAAAAGUUGGUUAACUUUUCAAAUGAAUAUUUUCAUUUUCACACACUUCUGUGCUUCUAGAUCCCAGCUGGGAUUAGCAGAGGAUUUGCACAAUUAGAGUCUGAUUGCGAUUGUAUACAACGCCAGUGUCACCGUGCAGUGCUAGCAGAAGGCUGGGAAUCAGGACCCCUUGUGUUCUAUUUCUGGCUCUUCCAGUGCCCUGCUAUGUGGGUCUUGUUAUGCCACUUCACUCUUUAUGCCUCUAUUGUCUCCUCUGUAGAAUGGGAAUAACAAAAUUAUGACUGCUGUUUGUGUUACAGUGACAUCUAGAAUCCACUACUGAGAUCAAGGACCCACUGUGCUAGGAACUGCAUAAACGUGAUCAUGUGGCUGAUAGCCAGAGACGAAAGAUCCCUUACUGGUGCCUCCCAGCUCUUUCCGAUUCUUCUCGCCACUCAGCAAGAACUCUCCUUUUUUAAGAGUCCAUGCUAUGGGAUCUGCCGAAGGCUGGAAGCAUACGACCAAUGUAGGCCAGAAGCUCCAGAGGGGAGCUCUCUACUGGUGAAAAGGAAAAAGUGCUGCCACAGAGUUCUUCCUUUGCAUAGACUACCUACCCACAAUUCCUCUCAGGACGCUUGAGGAGUCACCAUAACUAGACGUUAACUUGGAUUUUGGGGGUAGUUGGCUCCUAGAUCAGUUUAAAGAGUUUAUUUCUAAGCGGUCAGGAUUCUGCUGAAGGGUCUUAAGUGGUCUUGUUCCCUUUCCAGGGGGGACUUUGUUGUGACAAAUGACCCAGUGUUCUGCUUAUCUAGCACCGUAAUGAGCUACUUCAUUAGACUGGGUUAGCUGGUGGCCUCUCCAGGCAGGACUGGGUAAGCAACUCCCCUGGAACUGGAGACAGACCUGCAAAGAGACACUUGGAUGACUAGUACUUGCUGAUCCUAACAGUGAGUGGGGUUUGAUGGAUAGGUGAGGUGGUGCAGCCAAGGGACUGUGGGACAUUCCCACUAGUGGGUGGGCAGACAGUUGGAUGGACUGUUGCCAAAGUUACAGGAAAGCGGGGUAGAGGGUAUUUGACUCUUUAUAUGCAUAUCUGUUCUGUUGGUGGGUUUUCCCAGAUUCAUGACUGUGUUCCCUUUGUCCUUGUUUGUACACAGUCCUGGAGUGCUUGUGAGUGGGGAAGUUCAAGCUGUUAAGGGCACCCAGGGAGGGUGUGUUUAGUUUUUCCAGGUUUCAGGCUACAAAAACAGUGAAUCAGCUGACUCCAUGACACGCUAGCAGCUAAAAUUAAAUUUAAGUUUCCAACAUUCCUAUUUUAUCAAUACCUAUAAAUUUGACAUUACACCUUACAGGCUGCCAAAAAGAAAGCAAUUAAUAGACCUCCCUCACAGCAAAGGACCACUUUAAACUAUCCAUGAGGUCCUGAUUACAGCAGCUAUGAAGGAAAAACCAACCUUAUGGCUAAUUGGGACAGAGAUGCAGGAAAAGGAUGCAAAUCCUCUGGAUUAGAAGAGCAGUCUCCUCAGUUUGUGGUCAGCUAGGAAAAGUAACUAACUUGAGUGGUCCAGGGUUUAAAACUAGAGCAAAGAGAUUAAAAAACUGACCAUCUGUUAGAAAGGAUGCAAUGAGCAAGUCAGUUUCUUCCACAUCUGAAGGAGAAUCCUCACCUUUGGGAACUCUGGACAUUGAUUACACAAUAAAUUUGAUUAAUAACCAUAUGUAAUGUAGCAGAAACUGACUAAUUUUGCUCCUGGGAUUUGCCCUUGAUAUACAGUGCUUUCAGACUCAAUAGCACAUUAAGAACACAUUUAUCUCUGGCUGCAAGAUCUCUAUAAGAUAGGAACUGGGGACAAAGACUCCCUGUGUCUAUGUCCACGUGGUACAGAACGGCUCAAAUAAAUUGGUUAGUCUCUAAGGUGCCACAAGUACUCCUUUUCUUUUUGCGAAUAUAGACUAACAUGGCUGUUACUUUGAAACUUGAAAAUAUAUAGUGAAUGUAAAGCAAACACAUCAGCUAGAGCUUGUCUACACAGGGAAAUUUACUGGCAGAACUGUAUCGGUAUACUUAUAGUGCUGUUGUUGUACUGUAUAACUCCCCAUGCAGAAUUUCUUAUUCAGGAACAGCAGUAUAACUAUACCGGUAUAGUUCUGCUGGUAGAUUUCCCCAGCUAAACAAGACCCUACCCACACUGACGCCUCCCCCCGACACCCAGGCAUGAACAAAGGGUGCAUCUUUGCUAUGAAAAAAGGUGAGUUCUUAACUCAUGUUAACUACCAUGAAGUAAAAUCCUCACAAAGACAAGGAAGUUUGUAGUUUUCACACGUACUAAAAGAUCAAAGUAAGGAAUAGGAGGAAAGCCAACUGUCUAUCUCAACCUAACAACUCAGGUGAAACCUAUACCCUGCCUUAUCUUCACCAGGAUUUGAUUACAUGAGUUAAGAACACACCUUUUUCCCCAGUGAAGACAAGGCCAAAGAGAGAACGGAUAUUUAGAGAGCUGGCUUCCUUCUGUUGAAUUCUUACAACCCAUUUACUGGCCGUUCAACCUGAGCAUUAGCCUUCCUUUUCUGAACCUUAAUGACGAAUGAAAUUCGGUAUGGGUUUGUAGAGGAUGAAAGGUGAAAGGGGGUUGGUGCUGAGACUCAGUGGCCUAGGGAAACAAAAUCUGACUGGUUCAGCUCAAACACUAACAAUAUCAGAGGAAGCCUCCACCCUAACAUGAACAAUAUUAAGUGGGUUAAAGUUUGAGAUUACAUUUAACUGUAUUGUGCAUACAUGACGCAUUGCAAAGUAAAAAGGUGGGGGGGAAAAAACUAUGAUACCAUCUUUACACUUUUCACUUUUCAGAGCAGAACUGCACUUCAAAGUCUCUGGAAACUGAAGUGACAGAUUAUAUAUAACAGCAGCUUCAGUCUUGAAGUGGAUCUGGGAAGGCAGGGACUUUCCAGCUGACACUUUAGUGACCAUUUUCAAUUGGCCCUAGCAAAAUAAGCAGCUGGAGAGCGUGGGUGAAAUCCUAGCCCUCUUGAAGUCAAUGCCAAAACUUCUAGUGACUUCCUAGGUGCCAGGAUCUCACCCUCUGUGUGAAAAGAAUUGUUAAAGUGAAUCUGCAAAAAGAAGUAAAUCCAUUCUAGAAAGAGAACCUAGUAGCAAUCCCAUGCCUCUGAACUCCCCCUUCUGUCAGAUGAAGUGUUUGGGCCAUUCCUGUAGAAUACUGUAGUACUCCUUUGAAGGGAUAAUGGAUUGGAAAGUUCCAAGUGCCAUCAGAGGGGUUCAGAAUGUCACACACUGCCCACUUAUGGGCAAACUCACACUUCCCCAAGGGAUCUGCUGUCCUGAUUUUAUUUUUGCUGGCUUCCCUUGAAUUCCCACAACUCCAGGGGCUCUCAGUCAAUAUUGUCAUGUCAACAAGGAGUCAUUUAAUGUGCUUUUGCCCACUGAGAGCCAGAUCCUGUGAGAUGCUCAAUACAUCCUGCUAAAAUGCUGAGUGCCCUCCCCUCUGACUGGCUUCAGGGAAAGCGGAACAGGCUCAGAACCUCAGCAGGAUCAGGCCCCAUGACCCUGCAUCACUCAGCAGUAAUAAAGGAACCCCCCCAAGCAAGGCAAGCAUGUGUAACACAGGAGUGUGCGUGCUAAUGAGGGGAUGCAGCUAGCAAUAGCUAGGGCAGUAUUUGUUCCUCAGAGGGAAUAAAGGUUAGAAUGUUCCACCAACAUGGUUUUUUACAGUAGGGCCUGGCACCAAGAGACACGUCACAUUGUAAAUGACUGAUUUAUCCAGCAAACUGGAGGGGAUUCAAAGCAGAGCAACAGAAAUCAUUCAGGGGCUGGGGGUGAGGGGAAGUGGGACUAACUGCCAAGAAUUAGCUAUGUGUAACUGGGCUAAAUGACA
Molecule: long non-coding RNA, 4268 nt
Organism: Caretta caretta (loggerhead turtle)
Lineage: Eukaryota; Metazoa; Chordata; Testudines; Cheloniidae
Source: RefSeq, a predicted model, not a curated record